CGCGUAGGCGGACCUGCAAGUGGUGUGUGAAAUGCCCUGGCUCAACCAGGGAACUGCGCUCCAAACUGCAGGCCUUGAGGGCAGUAGAGGAAGCUGGAAUUCCUGGUGUAGCGGUGAAAUGCGUAGAUAUCAGGAGGAACACCGUUGGCGAAGGCGGGCUUCUGGGCUGUCCCUGACGCUGAGGCGCGAAAGCUGGGGGAGCAAACA
RNAcentral lists this ribosomal RNA (207 nucleotides) under uncultured bacterium. RNAcentral's name for it is "partial 16S ribosomal RNA". It matches the Rfam family "Bacterial small subunit ribosomal RNA", at positions 568 to 774 of the family's 1533-position model. The record is from RNAcentral.